AUACCUUUCUCGGCCUUUUGGCUAAGAUCAAGUGUAGUAUCUGUUCUUAUCAGUUUAAUAUCUGAUAUGUGGGUCAUCGACCUACUCGAUAUUAAUCUUAUUUUUGGAGGGGAAAGGCCGUCACGCUAGCUUGCUAGUGGGUCUGUUUUUAGUUAAAUUGUCGCCUUGGUCCUACACUAUCACCAAGGUCUGGCACCCCAAUU
Molecule: small nuclear RNA, 203 nt
Organism: Erigeron canadensis
Lineage: Eukaryota; Viridiplantae; Streptophyta; Magnoliopsida; Asterales; Asteraceae
Product: U2 spliceosomal RNA
Exons: 1
Source: RefSeq, a predicted model, not a curated record